GAGAGAAGGAGGGGUGGAGAGAAGGAGGGGUGGAGGGAAGGAGAGAUGGAGGGAAGGAGAGAAGGAGAGGUGGAGGGAAGGAGAGGUGGAGAGAAUGAGAGUUGUAGGGAAGGAGAGGUGGAGAGUUAGAGAGCUGGACAGGUGGAGAGGUGGAGAGAAGGAGAGGGGUGGAGAGGUGGAGGGAAGGAGAGGUGGAGGGAAGGAGAGGGGUGGAGAGGUGGAGAGGUGGAGGGAAGGACAGUUGGAGGGAAGGAGAGGUGGAGAGGUGGAGAGGUCGACAGGUGGAGGUGUGGAGAGAAGGAGAGAUGGAGGGAAGGAGAGGUGGAGAGUUGGAGAGGUGGAUAGGUGGAGGGGUGGAGAGGUGGAAUUAAAGAGAAACGGAGAUAAUGAGAGGUGGAAGGGUGGAGGGGUGGAGGGAAGGAGAGGUGGAGAGAAGGAGAGGUGGAGAGAAGGAAAGGUGGAGAGAAGGAAAGGUGGAGAGUUGCUGGGAAGGAGAGGUGGAGGGAAGGAGAGGUGGAGGGAAGGAGAGGUGGAGAGUUGGAGAGAAGGAGGGGUGCUGAGAAGGAGAGGUGGAGGGAAGGAGGGCUGCAGAGGUGGAGGGAAGGAGAGGUGGAGAGAAGGAG
Oncorhynchus tshawytscha (Chinook salmon) is the source of this 623-nucleotide long non-coding RNA. Lineage: Eukaryota; Metazoa; Chordata; Actinopteri; Salmoniformes; Salmonidae. The record is from Ensembl.